This is a long non-coding RNA of Podarcis muralis (Common wall lizard), 236 nucleotides long. RefSeq lists it as uncharacterized. The record is from RefSeq and is a predicted model, not a curated record. Lineage: Eukaryota; Metazoa; Chordata; Lepidosauria; Squamata; Lacertidae.
UUCCGGGUGGUCACCAUCUUCAUGACGAAGCAAGCCCCUGAUGAAUGCCGAAGAAACAGAAGUGCCAAAUGCAAGACACUGAGGCAAAUGGAAGGAGCUACCUGCCACCCUGGAAAAAAAACACUGGAAGACUCUUCUGCUUUGAGUACCUGUUCACUGUUGUCUGAAGUCCCAAGUUCCAAUACAUCCAGCUUCUUGCAUGUUAUUUCUUCUGGGAAAAUGUCUGACUCAAUUCG